This 253-nucleotide ribosomal RNA is filed under the name uncultured bacterium. RNAcentral's name for it is "partial 16S ribosomal RNA". It matches the Rfam family "Bacterial small subunit ribosomal RNA", at positions 524 to 776 of the family's 1533-position model. The record is from RNAcentral.
UACGUAGGGUGCAAGCGUUAAUCGGAAUUACUGGGCGUAAAGCGUGCGCAGGCGGUUAUGUAAGACAGAUGUGAAAUGCCCGGGCUCAACCUGGGAACUGCAUUUGUGACUGCAUGGCUAGAGUUUGGCAGAGGGGGGUAGAAUUCCACGUGUAGCAGUGAAAUGCGUAGAUAUGUGGAGGAACACCGAUGGCGAAGGCAGCCCCCUGGGUCAAGACUGACGCUCAUGCACGAAAGCGUGGGGAGCAAACAGG